RNAcentral lists this ribosomal RNA (433 nucleotides) under uncultured bacterium. RNAcentral describes it as "partial 16S ribosomal RNA". It matches the Rfam family "Bacterial small subunit ribosomal RNA", at positions 29 to 507 of the family's 1533-position model. The record is from RNAcentral.
AACGAACGCUGGCGGCAUGCCUAACACAUGCAAGUCGAACGAGACCUUCGGGUGUACUGGCGCACGGGUGUGUCACGUGUGGGAACCUGCCCUUAGGCUCCGAAUAACACCCCGUCGGGGGUGCUAACACCGGGUAAUGUAUUCGGACCCAACAUUCAUCUUCCUUGGAUGAGCGGGGGUUGUUCUGGCCUGUGGGGAGGGUAUAAGCCUACGAAGGAGUCGUUCGAUAGCUGGUCUGAGAGGAAGAUCAGCCACUCUGAGACUGAGACACGGCCGGGACUCCUACGGGAGGCGGCAGUGGGGAAUAUUGGACAAUGGGCGAAGUCCUGAUCCAGCAAGGCCGCGUAAGUGAUGAAGGCCUUAGGGAUGUAAAGCACGUUUACCCGGGGUGAUAAUGACGGUACCGAGAGAAUAAGCUCCGGCUAACUUCGUG